UCCAAAAUGCAACCUUGCACGUUUUAAAAGUAUUAAUCUAAAAUCCUAGGUCCUUCACUACAUUACAGCAAGAGAUAAAUUUCCAAAAAAAAGAACUUAAUAGGCUACACCGCCACUCAAGCCAUGUUUAUUUCAAAAUCCAAAAUCAUAUUACAUAAGCCAUUAUGAACCCAUACAUAAAUCAUGUUCAUUACAAUGACCAAAUACAUUUCAAUAGCAUCAUGACUAAAACAUGGCAAGCCAUAGCAAUCUUGUGGCAAUCUUCUUCAAACUCCAUCUGUUUCUCCAACGCCACUACAACACUAAUCCUUUCUCGUUUCUAUCUCUACCCAAACGAACCACCGUUUUUUCCCCUUCAAACCAACCCCUCAAUCUCCAUUAUCCCAUUGCAUCCCAAUACCAACAGGACAAACCAAAGCCGCUACCGACAAUACUCCCAAAGUUCCCAGCUGCAACUAGCAACAUCACGGCAACGACGGAUAGCAGCCAAGUCCAACCUGCAAGCAACCAAACCAGUGAAUCAAGAUCAACCUUCUUGCAACAUUGUUGAUUUUAGAAACACAAAGAAGCAAUUGAAAAGUGGAACGAACCACAACUAUAAUAUAAACACAGACACAGUACUGAUUUGGACAAAGACAGAGUGCAUGUGAAUCAAGAAACCAUGACUUCUUCUAAUCAUGAUCCUACCGAGUGCAAAACGUAAUAUAUAAAGCCUGAAGUUAUCAAACAAAUUGUUGUCCAAAUAACAAGGCUGAUGGACAAGAGUAGUCAGAAUCACAGUUGCAGCCGGUAUCUACAACUGAAGUUUCUCAUGCUGGUAUUGAUACUCAAGUUGUUCAAUACGUACUACCUCCGCAGCUUGGCCCUGGACAGCUAUGGUGCCAUUUGCUUAUUCAUACCGAAUCAGCAGAACAAAUCGCAUAAGUACGAGAAGUACCAGCACCCUGUGAUCGCAACAAAGCCGGCAGCAGCUGCGAAAUGAUUAUGUAUCAGUUCAAGUAAUAUCCCUGAUACAAAAAUAACCAAGUGUCAAGACAUGUUCAAUAAAAUUUUAUUCCAAACACAAGAUAUGAGCAGUUAGACAUUUGGAUUAUUAACCAAAAUCAAAGAUGGAAUACCAAGCAUACAUCAAAAACACGGUUAAAACAGUAAAGGAGUAUUGGAGUACUUAAAAAUAUGUCAAAUAAGUACAUGAAAAUCGUUUGUUAAUACUAAUAGGGACCACCACAAAUUGACACAUACAAAUACCUCACUACAGACAAAAAUACAAGAUUGGACUUGCUUUCAACGAGGCAAAGAUUUAC
RNAcentral lists this long non-coding RNA (1304 nucleotides) under Lathyrus oleraceus (garden pea). RNAcentral describes it as "Pisum sativum (pea) long non-coding RNA (PSAT_LNC021918)". The record is from RNAcentral. Lineage: Eukaryota; Viridiplantae; Streptophyta; Magnoliopsida; Fabales; Fabaceae.